UCCGGUUUGGCACCGGCAGUCUCCGAUGAGUCCCCGACAUAACUCGCUGGCAACAUCGGACAGGGGUUGCGCUCGUUGCGCCACUUAAGGCAACACCUCACGGCACGAGCUGACGACAGCCAUGCAGCACCUGUGCGGGCUCCCGAAGGAGGACCGUGUUUCCACACCGGUCACUGACAUGUCAAGCCCAGGUAAGGUUCUUCGCGUUGCGUCGAAUUAAACCACAUGCUCCACCGCUUGUGCGGGCCCCCGUCAAU
This 257-nucleotide unclassified non-coding RNA is filed under the name uncultured Actinomycetes bacterium. RNAcentral describes it as "uncultured actinobacterium contains 16S-23S intergenic spacer region". The record is from RNAcentral. Lineage: Bacteria; Bacillati; Actinomycetota; Actinomycetes.